ACAAGUAAAAUUUAGUUUUUGUUGUGGAGAUCAUUACUGCUGUAUUAUUGAGGGGGUUGUCUCAUCUGAAUAUCCCAUAUUAGUUGCGUUGUAUUGGUUUUGUUUUAAUAUACAUGCCUAACUUGGCAUUCUUUUUAUGUGGCAUAGGUUCAUCGUAACUCAUUCCAAAAGAAGGUCAUGCUACUCUUUGGAGCAGGCCACGCUGCAGAGGAUAAGCCCAAUUUCUCAAAUCAGCGUGGACCAACUCAAAGAGCCGAAGCCUUAGCUGCCUUGACUUCUGCGUUUAAGUUGUCUUCUGGUACCAAAAGUGGUAGUGCUUCAAGGCCGUCAGUCAUGGGUCAAGGAUCACAGAGGGCAGCUGCAGUAGCUGCUUUAUCACAAGUUCUCACUGCUGAAAAGAAGCGGUCACCGGAAUCAUCUCCAGCUUGAUCAGCAGAAGCCAACCCUCUAGCUGGAAUAAAGAGUGAAAAUGCACUUUCAGAAGUAGAGGAUUCUAAAGAAGAUUCUGAAGUUAAGGCCAAACCACCACAAAACUACAACAGAAACAAAUAUGUUCAUGGUAACUCAUUCCAGAAGAAGGUUAUGCUACUCUUUGGAGCAGGCCAUGCUGACGAGGUGAGCCAAGAGAGGUCCAAACCCAGCCUCAGUGAAGUCUGUAUGGAACAACCAAAGUUUUGAGAAGUCAGCCCUGGCGUCUCACACACGAGACACGUCUUCGCCCUUUUGCCUUUCUGUGAAUUUUGUCAUGUUGGCGAGGACUUCGGUAUACGUCUGUGUAUAGUUUUGUUUGGCUAACUUAGAUUUGAAUG
Camellia sinensis is the source of this 809-nucleotide non-coding RNA. Lineage: Eukaryota; Viridiplantae; Streptophyta; Magnoliopsida; Ericales; Theaceae. The record is from RefSeq and is a predicted model, not a curated record.